RNAcentral lists this long non-coding RNA (776 nucleotides) under Ananas comosus (pineapple). RNAcentral's name for it is "long non-coding RNA (ACOM_LNC037143)". Lineage: Eukaryota; Viridiplantae; Streptophyta; Magnoliopsida; Poales; Bromeliaceae. The record is from RNAcentral.
UUACAUGUUCUCACCUCCCCCACCAUUUUUCAGGUAUCGCGGGCGAUGAGUAGUGGGACGAGACGUGAGGUAUGUGUGUAGCGGUCGAUAGAGCUUCCGACCCAGGUUAUUUCGGUUUAGUUAUUAUCCUUAGUAUUUCUGUUGAUAUAUAGCUUAGAUAGCUUAUAUGGUUCAGUAUUUAUUUACAUUUGAAAAUGUGGAUUUCUGGAUUUUUGUAAAUUAAAAGAUUUUCUACCCCUCGUGGUAGCGUUUUUAAAGAAUAAAGGUUUCCGUGUAGGAAACAGCUUUCAAAAGGUUUUCUGUGAUUUUAUAUCGUAGUAUUUCAAAACCUGCUUCUGUGGAUGGAAACAUUUUAACUGAUAGAUGUGGAUUUAUGUUUAAAUAUUUAAUGCAUAAAUGUGAAUCUGUGGUGAAUAGUGUAUGAAUAUAUAUAACGGUUGGUUAUUUGUAUAUUCAUUUGUUGUGGUUGUGCCUGGGUGACUUCUUGUACUUGUGCGACGCCGUGCAAAUAUAGGGGAGACUCUGUCCGUGUGAACAGUGGAUUCCCUGUGUUUGUGGCGGAUCUUGCAUACUCUGGGGUCAGGCUUUUUUAAAAAAAAAAAAAAAAAUUCAGACGUUUUUCCGCUAUGUUUUAAACUAAAAGGACCCCGGGGCGUGACAGAGCGAGUGCGUGAGUAGCCAACGGCAAGCGAGGGCGUGGGUAGCCGACGGCGAGCGAAGGCGUGAGGAGCCGACGGCGAGCGAGCGUGUGAGGAGCCGACGGCGAGCGAGCGCGU